AACGAACGCUGGCGGCAUGCCUAACACAUGCAAGUCGAACGAGACCUUCGGGUCUAGUGGCGCACGGGUGCGUAACGCGUGGGAACCUGCCUUUAGGUUCGGAAUAACUCAGAGAAAUUUGAGCUAAUACCGGAUGAUGUCUUCGGACCAAAGAUUUAUCGCCUUUAGAUGGGCCCGCGUUGGAUUAGCUAGUUGGUGGGGUAAAGGCCUACCAAGGCGACGAUCCAUAGCUGGUCUGAGAGGAUGAUCAGCCACACUGGGACUGAGACACGGCCCAGACCCCCUCCGGGGGCAGGCGGUGGGAAAAAUUGGCAAUUGGGCAAAAGCCUGAUCCGCAAAUGCGGGGUAGGUGUUAAGGGCUUUGGGGUUGAAAGCCUCUUUACCCGAAGAGGUAAUUAAAGGAAUGGGGAAAUUAGGCCCGGGCUAACUCGGG
RNAcentral lists this ribosomal RNA (433 nucleotides) under uncultured bacterium. Its description in RNAcentral is "partial 16S ribosomal RNA". It matches the Rfam family "Bacterial small subunit ribosomal RNA", at positions 29 to 506 of the family's 1533-position model. The record is from RNAcentral.